This 1808-nucleotide long non-coding RNA is filed under the name Lupinus angustifolius (narrow-leaved blue lupine). RNAcentral describes it as "long non-coding RNA (LANG_LNC001025)". Lineage: Eukaryota; Viridiplantae; Streptophyta; Magnoliopsida; Fabales; Fabaceae. The record is from RNAcentral.
UAUGAUCAACAGCUGUAAAUAAACACAAUUGAAAACAAACCCUUCGCUUUCUUCUCCUGAAUCCCUCUCUCUUUUGUGCGGCUCUUCCGCUUUCCUUUCUAGAGAGAGAGAGAAUCUAUCAUAUCAAUUAAUCUUUGUUCGUUACAGUUAUUUUCAUUAUUCAUUUGAAUAACAAUGGCGUCUCCUCAAUUUUCAUUUGGAUUCGGAGUUGUUGUAAUCUUUGCAACUCUCAUUUUUGCUGUUCAUGCUCAAACUCCAGCCCCUGCACCUUCUCCUACUAGCGAUGGUAUUUCUUUUUUUCUCUCUCUUUCAUAUCUAACAUCGAAAUUACGUCGUUUUCUGAUUGUCACAUUCUAUAUAUAUAUAUAUAUAUAUGUAUUACGAUUUUGGUUUAAUUGUUUUUAUAUCUAUUCAAAUGUAGUUUUAUUUAAUGUUUGAUUUAUUUCACAUGGAAAUUAGAAACGUUACUUAAUCAUCUUGAUUACUUAACCACGACGUUGGAUGGAUGAGUUUGUGCGCUAUUUUAUAGUGUCGUUUCAUCGAUCCAAUCAAUCAUUCGGGUUUAUAACAAGAAUCAAUGAUUGUUUGCAUAGAAUGGUGUAUGAUGGAGAACGUAAAAAGAACUUACACUUUGGUAGGUUUAAGGGGGGAAAAAGGUUAAGGAAAGAAAAGAUGAAAGGAGAAAAUGAGUUGAAUAUAUGGUGGUUUUUCAUUAUUUGGUAAGGUAGUUAAUGGAAAGAAAGUGAAGAGAAAAAUAUCAAUAUCAUUAAUAAUGACAGAAUGUGUUGGUUUUUUUUUUGAAAUUUUAGGAAAUUAGUGACACCCUACUUUUGACAACAGUAAACAGAAAUUGCUGUUGCUAAAUAUCCAUGUACUAGUGUUAUUUUGUAUUUAUAUCCUUUUUAUAUUUUUGCAUCCUAAGCUUGGAUUAUAUUGGCUUUGUUCAUAUGACUUUCAAAAGACAUGACUUUCAUUGCACUAGAAGGAAGAUGGAGUAUGUAAAAUGUAUGUUUCACAAGAGGUACAAUAAACCAAACUUGAAGAAAACGAACAAGCAAAUAAAUUUAAUGUGGCAAAAAACAGAGAGUAUUACGUUGGGCAUUAUAUCAGAUACUUAGAGAAAGAAAGUUGAGAUAACAUUAAUGUAGAAAAAAUAUAGAUCGUGCCUUUCUGAGGUUUGCACAUAUUUGGAAAAGCAUUGGUAAGGUAACUAUAUCAGAUGGAAGGUGUCUCAAUUGUAAGUGGUAUAGAGGUCAAUAACUUGUCUAUUGACAUGAUUUAUUAUUGAAUAUUAUAACUCCCUUUAAACUAUGCAGCGGAUUCCCUUUAAUAUAAUAGUUCUUCAUUUACUUUACUAUUGUUUUGUUUUGGGUUUUCCAGGGUCGAUUAUUGAUCAAGGGAUAGCGUAUGUGCUGAUGCUGUUGGCUCUGGUGCUAACAUACCUCAUUCACUAGGCUGAUCUGAAUUUCAACAACAAAAAACACAUGGGUGCUUCACAAGGGGUGUUGUGUUUGUUAACAUUAAGAUGUUGGCACAUUAUGGUGCAAUAAGUGGGAAAUGUAAGAUUUGGGAGGAAAGUUAAUACUUAGGGAAGGUGUUAUUUUCGUUUUCUCGGUCAAGAACGUGAUCUGUGCCAUUAGAGACUUGUGAUCGUGGUUGGGACUAAUGUCACGUUCAUUUAUGUGACGUUUAUUCUAAACCAUGUUAGUGAUGUAUUUCUUAGCAAUAAUUAAUGUUUGUUAUGAUUUUGGCUUAUUGAUUGGCAAGAUUGAUUUACAAUCAGGAAUGAUAGUCCUCAAUGAAAACAC